CCUACGGGAGGCAGCAGUGGGGAAUAUUGGACAAUGGGGGGAACCCUGAUCCAGCGACGCCGCGUGAGUGAAGAAGUAUUUCGGUAUGUAAAGCUCUAUCAGCAGGGAAGAGAGAAAUGACGGUACCUGACUAAGAAGCCCCGGCUAACUACGUGCCAGCAGCCGCGGUAAUACGUAGGGGGCAAGCGUUAUCCGGAUUUACUGGGUGUAAAGGGAGCGUAGACGGCAGUGCAAGUCUGGAGUGAAAGGCGGGGGCUCAACCCCCGGACUGCUCUGGAAACUGUACGGCUGGAGUGCAGGAGAGGUAAGUGGAAUUCCUAGUGUAGCGGUGAAAUGCGUAGAUAUUAGGAGGAACACCAGUGGCGAAGGCGGCUUACUGGACUGUAACUGACGUUGAGGCUCGAAAGCGUGGGGAGCAAACAGGAUUAGAUACCCGAGUAGUC
RNAcentral lists this ribosomal RNA (443 nucleotides) under uncultured bacterium. RNAcentral describes it as "partial 16S ribosomal RNA". It matches the Rfam family "Bacterial small subunit ribosomal RNA", at positions 338 to 795 of the family's 1533-position model. The record is from RNAcentral.